GGCCGAGUGGCAAAAUGGUUACUGCGUUGCUUUCCGAUGAAUACCUGACGGGUAUUUCAGAGGCAGAGACUGUGGGUUCGAGUCCCACCUUGGUCG
Non-coding RNA from Mycena vitilis, 96 nucleotides. The record is from the annotation of a GenBank genome assembly. NCBI's taxonomy places the organism in Eukaryota, Fungi, Basidiomycota, Agaricomycetes, Agaricales, Mycenaceae.